This 2139-nucleotide long non-coding RNA is filed under the name Mus musculus (house mouse). Its description in RNAcentral is "long non-coding RNA chr6:118005441-118007580". The record is from RNAcentral. Lineage: Eukaryota; Metazoa; Chordata; Mammalia; Rodentia; Muridae.
AACUCACUUGUGUUCUGUAUAUAUUUUACACAAAUAACCUGGAAUGUCUACCAUAUUUUAGAGUGUCUGCUUUCUGAGUGACUGAAACCCACACCAGGAAGAUAGGUGUGGAAUUUGCCACUUGGGAUAUUUUUUUAAAUCAUAUUUUGGUACAUUUUGAAUGUCAGAUAUUUGGAUUAGGGACAUUCAACCUGUUCACAAAUGUGAUGCAGAGUUAUGACCCUAUUUACCAAGUGAAAAAAACCCACCAUACUCACUGGAGUGGAAGUUCAUACAGCGACAGGAGAAUGAUUCCCAAGGCUCACUCGAGGGAGGAGGUCUGGGGGCGAGUCCCCGCCAAGGGACCCGAGAGAGUUCUCCGAAGCAGCACUGUCCUACUUCGUGGCUUUUGUGGGCGUUCUCAUUCUGAUCAUCUUCAGGCUGUAAACAGACAUUCACACAUUCUUCUGAAUGUAGGACAUAGUUCACAAUAUAAAAACAGGAGAAGGGGGAUUGCAGGGGAGGUGGCUGAGGGGUGCUGGUGAAUUUCCAGUGGGUUUAGUGUGACCACAGAACCAUGUGAUCUCAACAACCCUCAGACAGAUGAGAGACCAUGUGGAGAAGGUGGGGCAGGGUUCAUCUGUCACUGGAGAGGGAGGAAUGAGAUGUAGGGUAGAGGUAUGGGUAAAACUGUAACACGUAGCUGGGCAGGAGGCUGGAGAAGUCAGAAGAGAGAGGUUAAGUGGAAAUAGGAGAUCAACUGGCCAUGGGACCAGAGACCCUGAGAACCAUAGAUGCUUAUGGAACCACAGUUUAUGGGCAGCUGGUCAGAAUGACAGUCAUGGUGGCAGGUCUACAUUAGAGAUCUUCAGAGGAACACAAAUUCUCAGGGGACAUCAUCUGCAUGUGGCUGUAACGCUGAGCAGAGGAAGGAAGAGGUAAGUGGACCCAGGAGUCUACAGGGCAGCUUAGUGGGGACUUGCACACAGUGGCAGAGGAGGGAAACCCUACAUCACACAAAGGGAGACAGGAAGCCUGCAAGUUGGGAGCACGUGGGAAGAGGGUAAAGGUGGGCCAUGUCUGGGUCCGCACAAAGCUACCUGCCGUUGUCAGCUAAACAACGAGUAGCAGGCUGUGCUUGGCCACUGUUUUAGAGAGUUUGUCUUAUAGUGUUUGUGAUAUAUGCUGUGUCACCUGGCACAAUGACAGCUAUGACCAAGAUGGCUGUAGUUAUGCUAAGGAGGCUUCUUGGCGACUAUUUCUCAUCUCCACAGCCUACACUGCCCAUUGACUCAAAACUACCCCAUUUGAACUCAUGUGGGGGAGAUCAGAACUACUUCCCAGUCCCUUGACCUAGAUCUCAGCCAUGGACAAGACACACACCUUCGGGAAAGUCUCACCAGGCAGCUCCACUAGGGGAGGACACUGGGGAAAGUGUCUGGCCAGUUUAAGCCCCGGCAUAGGGUCUUCGGUUUCAGAAUUUUACCAUUGACCUGGGCUUGUAUGCUCUGCUUGAGCAAAAAGAUUAAUAUGCAAUUUAAAUUUGAUAUGAAAUGAAAUCGCAUAGAUACUCUGCCUAUCUAUCCUUGGGUCCUUCUUUUCUGUGACCCAAAUACUUGAGACUAUGUUUGCAGCACAAGCCCAGUUGUAAACAUUUUCUGUUUCUUCAGUCCUAACUAUCCUAGCCUGAGCUGCCUUCAUCCCUAAUCUGUUUAUUAGGACAGGUUUUGUUUUCUUGUUGUUUGUUUUUUAGCAUUCUAUAACAAAAUACCUGAAGCUGGGCAGUGCAUACAGAACAGAGGGUUAUUUAACUCUUUAGAGACCGGACUGAUUGAUCUGACCUAUAGUAAGCUACUCUUCGGUCACGCAAACUAUUCAUCAUGGAGAAAGCAUCAGUGAGCAAGAGAAAUCAUAUAGCAAGACAUGACGUCAGAGUCUGGGAAAGGUUCAGUAAUUUAUCAACAACCCUUUCCCGAGAAUGAACCAGAGUCCCAUGAGAAUACAUCAGUAUUUGAGAGAAACACCCCAAAUGGCCUAAUCACUUCCACUAGGUUCUGUAACUGCAGUUCCGGAGAAUCUGAUGCCCUCUUCUGGCCUUGCUGGGCGUUGCAUGCACAUGGUUCACAGACAUACUUUCAGAGAAACACUCAUCAUACACAU